RNAcentral lists this long non-coding RNA (1784 nucleotides) under Marmota monax (woodchuck). The record is from RNAcentral. Lineage: Eukaryota; Metazoa; Chordata; Mammalia; Rodentia; Sciuridae.
GCCGCAGUGGCUGGGGCCGGGCACCCGACUUUUCUGGACAUCUCUCAGCAAAGAGGAAGGAUGGAAACCGCAUCGCAAAAAGGUAAUAUGCCCUGGGUGCUGGGGAUGGCCCUUCUGGCUCUUAGCUUCUGGGUGUGGGCUCCAUGUCUUGUAUCUUAGCCUCUCACUGUCGCUGCCAGGAGCUUGGCACACGCACCAAGCUGGGAUUAGAGACUUUGACCCUGCCUGCGCCACUGACAGAAGCUGAAAGAAGCUGUAGAGGUCAGUGAAUUCGCCCACCCUUUUAAAAGGGGAAGGCUCUAUCCAUUGCUCCUUGGGUCUACUAGUGCUUUGAGGCGGGACUUGGUGUUGGGGAUGCUCCUUGAUCAUCCAAAUGGAACCCCCUCCUCAAUUGAACCACAGAAUAUAUGAGUAAAAAGAUUUCAAUUUGAGCCUGACGCGGUGGAGCAGGCCUGUAAUCCCAGUGGCUCUGGAGGCGGAGAGAAGAGAAUGUGGAGAGGUGCCAAGGAACUCAGUGAGAGUUCAAAAUAAGGCUUGGGAUACGGCAGAGGGCCCCUCAGUUCAAUCCCUGUACCAAAUAAAUAAAUAAAAUAAGAAAAUAAAUUUGAAUGAAUUUCUCAGUAUCUGGAGUGAGACCAGUCUUGAAAAGUUCUUUUCCAUUAUUUUCAGGAAUCACCAAAGGCAAACUGGAGCUUCCUAACAAGUGUCACCUGAGAGAUCUUCCUGUAAUCCAGAUGGUUAGUGUUGAGACUCUGUUCAUAUUUGCAGUGAAAUGGUUUACACCUUGAAAGCUUCCUUCCUCCUUUCCAAGCUUACAUUAAGUCGCUUUCAUUUGAUCUCCUGAAUAUCUUUUGAAUCAGCCAGCUUUUGAAUCUCCUUCAACAUCAUAAUGCAGGUCUUGCCUGACCUAUGGCAUUGGAGUCCAGUGGUGUCCAUAGAUCUAUUCUUUCCAUUCUUCCAGUAUGUUUUUUUGCAGAAAUCUUUUAAAUAGGUCAUUACAAAAAAUUGAAAUGGAAAUGGAACUGGAAGAAGUUCAUAGUUCUCAUAGACAGAGUAAAGCAUUAUUUUGAGAAUAAAAGGAAUCUCCUUACAUGGUCUAUAGGGUCCUGUAUGGUCUUGGAUCCUCUCUGCCUCCCCAGCCCCAUUUCUUGCUUCUCUUGACUUUCUGUGCUUCAGAUAUAUUGAAUUAACUAUAGUUAAUUUUAACUUGUACUAUAGAAGUGAGCGCAAAUAUUACUUUUCAGGGUUGACUCCUAGUAUUUUCAAGAGAAGUUCACAAUCCCUUUUCUUUGGAAGAGUUUUCAAACAUAAAGUUUAAAUUCUCUACUGAUUGAAUUUGAUACUAUCAGAUGUAUGAAGAUGAAAACAUCAUUUUUAGUGAAAGAAUUGAAUUUAAACUAUUGUCCUGUGUUUGUUUUAAUAACACCUCGGUAUUUGGUUAGCUUUUGUCAGGGAUGCAGAAGUUUUGACCAUCUGAUUUUAGAUAUUGCGUAUUUCUGGAGACCUUUGUUCUGUUGCCUUGGAUCUGUUUUCCAGAUGGGCAGAUGGGAAGAAGGGUUACUAUCAGGCAGGAAUGAAUAAGUUAAGUGGCAGAAUGAGAAGCAGAGAAUAGGAACAUGCUCUGUGGGCUAUGACUGUGGUAUUCCAGAAGCCUUUAUUCUGUUCAGGGAGACAAGGCUAACAUACAGUUUGACUAACCAAAAACAUAUCCACUAGGUGGAAAGACCACCUCCCAGUUGGACAGAGGAUGCCUGAGACUGGAUUCAUUGCUUUCAAAGUUCCUU